RNAcentral lists this long non-coding RNA (654 nucleotides) under Helianthus annuus (common sunflower). RNAcentral describes it as "hypothetical non coding rna". The record is from RNAcentral. Lineage: Eukaryota; Viridiplantae; Streptophyta; Magnoliopsida; Asterales; Asteraceae.
GGGAAGAGAGACAAGACUAGAGAGAAACCGAGUUAUGGAUUAAGAGUCUGUUUGUAAUCAGUUUUGAGCUAUUUUCUAAUUAGUAAGAUUGAGAGUUAUUCGAUCUAAAUUCUCUUAUUCAUCUUUUCUAUUCGGUUUGAUUAUCGACUAGGACUUGAAUUGAUAUCAGAGCCAAGUUCAAUCGUCGAUAUAAAACGAGUACCUGGGUUCUUAAUCGGCGGCUAAGAAGUCUAACGGGUUGGCGAUCGAGAAGGUCAGGAUUAGUGGUACUUGUUCGUCGGAGCAGUGGCGUAGGUACUAUUACAAAGGCGGGCAACGAGUAGGUUGUUUGUACGACGGAAAUCGAUAAGCGGAACCAGGUGGGUUCUGCUCGGAUUGGUUUCGGCAACACUCUCGGGUUCAAACUAGGUCGUCAGAGUUUUCGUUCCAAGCGGCGAUGGUAACUAAAACAUCAGACGACGUUAAUUCCACGCUGUCGUACGGUGUAAAUCGAAACAAAAAGAAGUCAAAAGGAAUUAACCGUUUUCUUUUGUAUUUUCUUCCAUAACAACGUUUAAAACAAAAAAAAAUAUAAACACGUUGGUUUAAUUAAUUAAUUUUGAUUAUUUUUUUGGUUUAAACUAAGUUUGAGUUUAAACAUUAAACGUUAUUUGG